RNAcentral lists this ribosomal RNA (449 nucleotides) under uncultured bacterium. RNAcentral describes it as "partial 16S ribosomal RNA". It matches the Rfam family "Bacterial small subunit ribosomal RNA", at positions 29 to 523 of the family's 1533-position model. The record is from RNAcentral.
AACGAACGCUGGCGGCAUGCCUAAUACACGCAAGUCGAACGAGAUCUUCGGAUCUAGUGGCGCACGGGUGCGUAACGCGUGGGAAUCUGCCCUUGGGUUCGGAAUAACUUCGGGAAACUGAAGCUAAUACCGGAUGAUGACGUAAGUCCAAAGAUUUAUCGCCCAGGGAUGAUCCCGCGUAGGAUUAGCUAGUUGGUGGGGUAAAGGCCCACCAAGGCGACGAUCCUUAGCUGGUCUGAGAGGAUGAUCAGCCACACUGGGACAGAGACACGGCCCAGACUCCUACGGGAGGCAGCAGUAGGGAAUAUUGGACAAUGGGGGAAACCCUGAUCCAGCAAUGCCGCGUGAGCGAUGAAGGCCUUAGGGUUGUAAAGCUCUUUUACCCGAGAUGAUAAUGACAGUAUCGGGAGAAUAAGCCCCGGCUAACUCCGUGCCAGCCGCCGCGGUAA